AACGAACGCUGGCGGCAUGCCUAAUACAUGCAAGUCGAACGAUCACUUCGGUGGUAGUGGCGCACGGGUGCGUAACGCGUGGGAAUCUGCCCUUGGGUUCGGAAUAACGUCGGGAAACUGACGCUAAUACCGGAUGAUGACGUAAGUCCAAAGAUUUAUCGCCCAGGGAUGAGCCCGCGUAGGAUUAGCUAGGUGGUGGGGUAAAGGCCUACCAAGGCGACGAUCCUUAGUUGGUCUGGGAGGAUGAUCAGCCACACUGGGACUGAGACACGGCCCAGACUACUACGGGAGGCAGCAGUAGGGAAUAUUGGACAAUGGGGGCAACCCUGAUCCAGCAAUGCCGCGUGAGUGAUGAAGGCCUUAGGGUUGUAAAGCUCUUUUACCCGGGAUGAUAAUGACAGUACCGGGAGAAUAAGCCCCGGCUAACUCCGUGCCAGCCGCCGCGGUAA
This 449-nucleotide ribosomal RNA is filed under the name uncultured bacterium. RNAcentral describes it as "partial 16S ribosomal RNA". It matches the Rfam family "Bacterial small subunit ribosomal RNA", at positions 29 to 523 of the family's 1533-position model. The record is from RNAcentral.